This 254-nucleotide ribosomal RNA is filed under the name uncultured bacterium. RNAcentral describes it as "partial 16S ribosomal RNA". It matches the Rfam family "Bacterial small subunit ribosomal RNA", at positions 524 to 776 of the family's 1533-position model. The record is from RNAcentral.
UACGGAGGGGGCUAGCGUUGUCCGGAAUUAUUGGGCGUAAAGAGCUCGUAGGCGGUGUGUCACGUCGGCCGUGAAAACCUGCAGCUUAACUGUGGGCGUGCGGUCGAUACGGGCAUCACUGGAGUUCGGCAGGGGAGACUGGAAUUCCUGGUGUAGCGGUGAAAUGCGCAGAUAUCAGGAGGAACACCGGUGGCGAAGGCGGGUCUCUGGGCCGAUACUGACGCUGAGGAGCGAAAGCGUGGGGAGCAAACAGG